RNAcentral lists this ribosomal RNA (466 nucleotides) under uncultured bacterium. RNAcentral describes it as "bacterial SSU rRNA". It matches the Rfam family "Bacterial small subunit ribosomal RNA", at positions 329 to 792 of the family's 1533-position model. The record is from RNAcentral.
GUCCAGACUCCUACGGGAGGCAGCAGUGAGGCCUCUUGGUCAAUGGGCGCGAGCCUGACCCCGCCAAGUAGCUUGCCGUAUGACUGCCCUCCGGGUUGUACCCUUCUUUUAUAACGGCCUCAAGUGAGGCCCGUGUGCCUUUUUGUCUGUACUUUAUGCCUCCGGAUCGGCUCCCUCCGUGCCAGCAGCCGCGGUAAUCCGGCGGAUCCGAGCGUUAGCCGGAUUUAGGGGGGGUAAAGGGAGCGGAGAUGGGUUGGGAAGGCAGUUGUGAAAGUGUGCGGCUCAACCGGAAAAUUGCAAUUGAUACUGGCAGCCUUGAGGACAGUUGAGGUAGGCGGAAUUCGUGGGGGAGCGGUGAAAGGCGGAGAUAUCACGAAGAACUCCGAUUGAGAAGGCAGCCUACGAAAAGGCCACUGACAGGGAUGCUCGAAAGGGGGGGUAUCAAACAGGAUUAGAUACCCCAGUA